Zingiber officinale is the source of this 1078-nucleotide long non-coding RNA. RefSeq lists it as uncharacterized. The record is from RefSeq and is a predicted model, not a curated record. NCBI's taxonomy places the organism in Eukaryota, Viridiplantae, Streptophyta, Magnoliopsida, Zingiberales, Zingiberaceae. The transcript has 2 exons.
ACUUGUUUUACAUCGAAGUUUGAUAUCAUCUACAAAUCUUUCUUCUUCUUUCAUAAUAAUUUUUUUUUAUCGACGAUAACCGUUUCGAUAAUAUUAAUUGUAGCAAGAUAACUUUUUUUAUAUGGAGGUUUGAUAUCAUCUACAGAUUUUUUUUCUUCUUUCAUAAUAACAUUUUUUUAUCGAUGAUAACCGUUUCGAUUAUAUUAAUUAUAGCAAGAUAACUUUUUUUACAUCGAGGUUUGAUAUCAUCAACAGAUUUUUUUUCUUCUUUCAUAAUAACUUUUUUUUAUCAAUGGUAAUCGUUUCGAUUAUAUUAAUUGUAGCAAGAUAAUUUUUUUUACAUGAAGUUCUUCUUUCAUAAUAACUUUUUUUUAUCGAUGGUAAUUAUUUCGAUAAUAUUAAUUGUAGUAAGAUAAAAUUAUUAUUUGUUAUUUGUGUGUGUGUAAUUUUCGACUUCAGACUCUAAAAAGAGAGAUGGCGUCCAAUUUCAUCGCCAAUGGCGACGAUUUGAAAGAAUCUAAAAGAGAGAUGGCGUCCAAUUUCAUCGCCAAUGGCGACGAUUUGAAGGAGGAGGAGCACCACCACCACCACUACAGCCACCAUCAACAAGGGCCGUCGCCGCGGGGCGCAAGGCGGACUUUGUCCACCAACUCCUCCUCCUCUGCUUGCGGCGCCGUGACGGCGAUCCCCAAGUGCGUGUGUGCUCCGACUACGCACGCCGGUUCCUUCAAGUGCCGCCUUCACAGGGCGAACUCCCACGGCCACGCGCCGCCCUCUCCGACCUCGAUCCCUCCCCCUCGGCCUCCCGUGAACUCCUCCACCACCCCCCGACCGUGGAGGCGCAGUAACAGCAACACGACGAAAUGAACCCUAAUAAGGUUCUAUCAGCUUUAAUCGAUGACUACUUGUGGAUCAGGCUGUGAUCGAAGUUCGAAAAUCUAUGAAAUCAUUACACUUUUUUUUUUUUAUUUCUAUUUUCUUUUUUCAACUACUGUUAGAGAUGCUUGUGCUUAGAUUAUGUUAUCUUAGUUGACAAUGAUGUAUCCACUUGCAUCUCACUUUAUUUUAAUUUCUCUCA